AACGCGAAGAACCUUACCUGGGUUUGACAUCCCUCGACAGCCGUAGAGAUACGGUUUUGGUAGCAAUACCACGGGGAGACAGGUGCUGCAUGGCUGUCGUCAGCUCGUGUGGUGACAUGUUGGGUUAAGUCCCGCAACGAGCGCAACCCUUGUCCUUAGUUGCCAGCAUUCAGUUGGGCUCUCUAAGGAGACUGCCGUGGUGAACACGGAGGAAGGUGGGGAUGACGUCAAGUCCUCAUGGCCUUUAUAUCCAGGGCGACACACGUGAUACAAUGGCCGGUACAGAGGGAAGCUAAAGCGCAAGCUGGAGCCAAUCUCAAAAAGCCGGUCUCAGUUCGGAUUGGAGUCUGCAACUCGACUCCAUGAAGUUGGAAUCGCUAGUAAUCGCGGAUCAGCACGCCGCGGUGAAUACGUUCCCGGGCCUUGUACACACCGAUAGC
This 440-nucleotide ribosomal RNA is filed under the name uncultured bacterium. RNAcentral's name for it is "bacterial SSU rRNA". It matches the Rfam family "Bacterial small subunit ribosomal RNA", at positions 958 to 1397 of the family's 1533-position model. The record is from RNAcentral.